UACGGGGAGUGCAAGCGUUGUUCGGAAUCAUUGGGCGUAAAGCGCGUGUAGGCGGCCUGCUAAGUCUGAAGUGAAAGCCCUCGGCCCAACCGAGGAAGUGCUUUGGAAACUAGUAGGCUUGAAUCCUGGAGGGGCGAGUGGAAUUCCCAGUGUAGGGGUGAAAUCCGUAGAUAUUGGGAGGAACACCGGUGGCGAAGGCGGCUCGCUGGACAGUGAUUGACGCUGAGACGCGAAAGCGUGGGGAGCAAACAGG
Molecule: unclassified non-coding RNA, 253 nt
Filed under: uncultured delta proteobacterium
Lineage: Bacteria; Deltaproteobacteria
Description: contains 16S-23S intergenic spacer region
Rfam family: Bacterial small subunit ribosomal RNA
Source: RNAcentral